GAUGAACGCUGGCGGCGUGCCUAAUACAUGCAAGUCGAGCGAACGGACGAGACGCUUGCUUUUCUGAUGUUAGCGGCGGACGGGUGAGUAACACGUGGAUAACCUACCUAUAAGACUGGGAUAACUUCGGGAAACCGGAUCUAAUACCGGAUAAUAUUUUGAACCGCAUGGUUCAACAGUGAAAGACGGUCUUGCUGUCACUUAUAGAUGGAUCCUCGCUGCAUUAGCUAGUUGGUAAGGUAACGGCUUACCAAGGCAACGAUGCAUAGCCGACCUGAGAGGGUGAUCGGCCACACUGGAACUGAGACACGGGCCAGACUCCUACGGGAGGCAGAAGAAGGGAAUCUUCCGCAAUGGGCGAAAGCCUGACGGAGAAACGCCGCGUGAGUGAUGAAGGUCUUCGGAUCGUAAAACUCUGUUAUUAGGGAAGAACAUAUGUGUAAGUAACUGUGCACAUCUUGACGGUACCUAAUCAGAAAGCCACGGCUAACUACGUG
RNAcentral lists this ribosomal RNA (497 nucleotides) under uncultured bacterium. Its description in RNAcentral is "partial 16S ribosomal RNA". It matches the Rfam family "Bacterial small subunit ribosomal RNA", at positions 28 to 507 of the family's 1533-position model. The record is from RNAcentral.